CCGCCCCGCCCCGCCCCGCGCCGCCGCCCCCAACCCCUAGGCUGAGCCGGAGGGAGGGACCCAGAAGGGAGGGAGGCGGAAGGGAGGCCAAAAAGGAGGGGGCCACGUGAAAGAGGCCGGCCGACCGAGACCGAGGGAGACUGAGCGGAGCGCACGCCCUGGAAGGAGAGAGCCGGAGAGUUCGGGAGGCAAGACCCCCAGAGACGAGAGUCGGAGGGAUCAAACGACACAGAUGGAGUCUUGCUCUGUCACCCAGACUGGGUACAGUGGCACGAUCUCGGCUCACUACAAACUCCACCUCCUGGGUUCAAGAGAUUCUCCUACCUCAGCCUCCCGAGUAGCUGGGACUACAGAAAGAAAAGUGCCACAUAAGGAGAGACACACGGGGGGAACGCCAUGUGACAAUGGAGUUAUGAAGCUGCAAGCCAGGUCAUGCCCAGGAGUGCCAGCAGCCACCAGGAGCUAAGGAGAAAGAGUGGGAUCCAUCCUGCCCUGGACCCUGCAGAAGGGGCACAGCCCUGCUGGUGCUUUCAUUUCAGACUUCUGGCCUCCAGAGUUGUAAAAGAAUAAACUCACUCUGUGGUUCUAAGCUGCCCAGUUUGUGGUAGAUCAUUACAGCAGCCACCGGAAACUAAUACGUGAUUAUAUCAUUAAUAAGUGGUAGUGUCAAACUCAGACUAGUUUGGCUAUAAAAUUUCUGCAAUGCUACUUUGUUGUUUUGGUGAUUUCAAGCAAAUUAUUUCACCUCACUUCUCUAUGCCUCAAUUUCCUUUUCUGUAAAAUGGCAUUACUGAUGAAACUUAUUUCGUGGAGUUGCUGUGAGGUUUAAAUACAGUAGGUGUGGUAUCAGAGGUGAACAUGCCCUUUUCCGAUAAGGUAUUUGCAUGUAUCAUGGUGGGAAAUUUCUUCUGCCUGAAAUCUUCUUAGUUCAGGGAUUCUGAACUAAGGAUUCAGAUUUUCAUCUGCUUUAUUGAAGGGUGUGUAUACUAUAGUUAUUUAGGCACAGGUCUGUUCCUUGUUUGAGGUCUUGAUGUUCAAAAAUUUAAAGUUAGCCUUGAAUACAGGGAAGAUUUUGGUUGCAUGUAUUUCAUUAUGGGGUAUACCUUUGCCCUCUCCAGCACAAAAAAAAUAUUACUAAAAGAAAAUUGAUAAAUUCCUGGCAACAUACAACCUCCCAAGAUUAAAUCAGGAAGAAAUUGAAACCCUGAACAGACCAAUAAUGAGUUCCAAGAUGGAAUCAGUAAUAAAAGACCUACCAACAAAAAGAGCCCUGCACCAGGUGAAUUCACAGACAAAUUCUACCACACGUACAAAGAACAGCUGGUACCAAUCCAACUGAAACUUUUCCAAAAAAUCAAGAAGGAGGGUAAUAUGGUUUGGAUCUGUAUCCCUACCCAAAUUUCAUGUUUAAAUGUAAUCCCCAACGCUGGUGGUAGAGCCUGGUGGGAGGUGAUUAGAUCAUGGCAGUUUCUCAUGGUUUAACAUCAUCCCCCCUUGGUGCUGUGGUCACAAGAGUGAGUGAGUUCUCAUGAUAUCUGGUUGUUUAAAAGUGUGUGGCACCUCCCCUUUCUUCUCUUCCUACUGCUCUGGCCAUGUGGAGUGCUUCAUUCCUUCUUUGCCUUCUGCCAUGAUUGGAAGCUUUUUGAGGCCUCCCCAGAAGCAGAAGCCACUAUACUUCCUGUACAAACUGCAGAACCAUGAUCCAAUUAAACCUCUUUUCUUUAUAAAUUACCCAGUCUCAGGUAUUUCUUUACAGCAAUGGGAGAACAGACUAAUACAGAGGGAUUCCUCCCUAACUCAUUCUAUGAAACUGGCAUCAUCUUGAUACCAAAAGUUGGCAAAGACACAAUAAACAAAAACUACAGUCCAAUAUCUCUGAUGAACAUAGGCACAAAAAUCCUCAACAAAAUACUAGAAAACUGAAUCCAGUAGCAUAUCAAAAAGUUAAUUCAUCAUGACCAAGUAGACUUUAUUCCCGGGAUGCAAGGUUAGUUCAACAUACACAAAUCAAUAAAUGUGAUUCACCACAUAAACAGAAUUAAAAACAAAAACCAUAUCAUCAUCUCAACAGAUGAAGAAAAAGCUUUCAAUAAAUCCCAGUAUCCCUUCAUGAUAAAACCCUCAAUAAACUAGGCAUUGAAGGAACGUACCUCAAGAUAGUAAGAGCCAUCUAUGACAAACCUACAACCAACAUCAUAUUAAAUGGGCAAAAGCUGGAAGCAUUCCUCUUAAGAACUGGAAAAAGACAAGAAUGCCCACUCUCACCACCCCUAUUCAAUAUAGUACUGGAAGUCCUAGCCAGAGAAAUCAACAAAAGAAAGAAAUAAGAGGCAUCCAAAUAGGAAAAGAAGUCAAAUGACGUCUCUUUGCUGGUGAAAUAACACUAUGCCUAGAAAACCCUAAAGACUCCAUCAAAAUGCUCCAAGACCUAAUAAAUAACUUUAGUAAAGUUUCAGGAUACAAAAUCAAUAUUCAAAGAUCAGUAGCAUUUCAGUACACCAAUAUGUUCAAGCUGAGAGUCAAAUCAAGAAUGCAAUUCCAUUUACACUAGCCACAAAAAAUAAAAUAUCUAGUGAUAUGGUUUGGCUGUGUCCCCAUCCAAAUCUCAACUUGAACUGUAUCUCCCAGAAUUCACAUGUGUUGUGGGAGGAACCCAGGGGGAGGUAAUUGAAUCAUGGGGGCUGGUCUUUCCCGUGUUAUUCUCGUGACAGUGAAAAAGUCUCAUGAGAUCUAAUGGGUUUAUCAGGGGUUUCUGCUUUUGCUUCUGGCUCAUUUUUCUCUUGCCACUGCCAUGUAAGAAGUGCCUUUCACUUCCCACCAUGAUUCUUAGGCUUCCCCAGCCAUGUGGAACUCUAAAUCCAAUUAAACCUCUUUUUGUUCCCAGUUUCAGGUAUGUCUUUAUCAGUAGCAUGAAAAUGAACUAAUAUAUCUAGGAAUAUAUCUUACCAAGGAGGUGAAAGACCUAUACAAGUAGAACUACAAAACACUGCUAAAAGAAAUCACAGGUGACACAAACAAAUGAAAGAACAUUCCAUGCUCAUGGAUUGGGAGAAUCAAUAUUACUAAAAUG
Molecule: long non-coding RNA, 3070 nt
Filed under: Homo sapiens (human)
Lineage: Eukaryota; Metazoa; Chordata; Mammalia; Primates; Hominidae
Description: HSALNT0353723
Source: RNAcentral